RNAcentral lists this ribosomal RNA (800 nucleotides) under uncultured bacterium. Its description in RNAcentral is "bacterial SSU rRNA". It matches the Rfam family "Bacterial small subunit ribosomal RNA", at positions 8 to 826 of the family's 1533-position model. The record is from RNAcentral.
AGAGUUUGAUCCUGGCUCAGAAUGAACGUUGGCGGCGUGGAUUAGGCAUGCAAGUCGCGCGAUAAGCGUAGCAAUACGUGGAAAGCGGCGAAAGGGAGAGUAAUGCAUGGUUAGCUACCCUCGGGACUGGGAUAGCGGCGGGAAACUGCCGGUAAUACCAGAUGAUGUCUUCGGACCAAACGUGUGAACCGGCCCGAGGAGGUGACCAUGUCCUAUCAGCUAGUUGGCGGUGUAACGGACCACCAAGGCAAAGACGGGUAUGGGGCGUGAGAGCGUGCCCCCACUCACUGGGACUGAGAACUGCCCAGACACCUACGGGUGGCUGCAGUCGAGAAUCUUCGGCAAUGGGCGCAAGCCUGACCGAGCGACGCCGCGUGCGGGAUGAAGGCCUUCGGGUUGUAAACCGCUGUCGUAGGGGAGGAAGGUCUUGCGAAGAGCAAGGCUUGACCGAUCCUAGGAGGAAGGGCCGGCUAAUCUCGUGCCAGCAGCCGCGGUAAUACGAGAGGCCCAAACGUUAUUCGGAAUUACUGGGCUUAAAGAGUCCGUAGGCGGCGCGGAAAGUGGGGUGUGAAAGCCCUCGGCUCAACCGAGGAAUUGCGCUCCAAACUACCGUGCUUGAGGAACCUAGAGGUGAGCAGAACUGAUGGUGGAGCGGUGAAAUGCGUUGAUAUCAUCAGGAAUACCGGAGGCGAAGGCGGCUCACUGGGGGUUUUCUGACGCUGAGGGACGAAAGCCAGGGUAGCGAACGGGAUUAGAUACCCCGGUAGUCCUGGCCGUAAACGAUGAGCACUAGGCCGGAG